Molecule: ribosomal RNA, 375 nt
Filed under: uncultured bacterium
Lineage: Bacteria
Description: bacterial SSU rRNA
Rfam family: Bacterial small subunit ribosomal RNA
Source: RNAcentral
UAAUACAGAGGGUGCGAGCGUUAAUCGGAAUAACUGGGCGUAAAGGGCGCGUAGGCGGUAAGAGGAGUGUGAUGUGAAAGCCCCGGGCUUAACCUGGGAAGUGCAUCGCAAACGCUCUAACUAGAGUAUAUGAGAGGGUGCUGGAAUUUCCGGUGUAGCGGUGAAAUGCGUAGAUAUCGGAAGGAACGUCGAUGGCGAAGGCAGGCACCUGGCAUAAUACUGACGCUGAGGCGCGAAAGCGUGGGUAGCGAACAGGAUUAGAUACCCUGGUAGUCCACGCUGUAAACGAUGAGGACUAAAUGUUGAUUGGGGAACCAAGCAGUAUUGAAGCUAACGCGAUAAGUCUUCCGCCUGGGAAGUACGGCCGCAAGGUUG